RNAcentral lists this transfer RNA (67 nucleotides) under Myrmecophilus sp. Its description in RNAcentral is "tRNA-Val". Lineage: Eukaryota; Metazoa; Arthropoda; Insecta; Orthoptera; Myrmecophilidae. The record is from RNAcentral.
CAGAAUAUAUCUUAUUUAAAAGUAAUUCACUUACACUGAUUAGAAGGUAUAAUAAAGCCUGUUCUGA